GGAUCCCAUCAGAACUCCGCAGUUAAGCGUGCUUGGGCGUGAGUAGUACUAGGAUGGGUGACCUCCUGGGAAGUCCUCGUGUUGCACCU
RNAcentral lists this ribosomal RNA (89 nucleotides) under Gastrolobium minus. The record is from RNAcentral. Lineage: Eukaryota; Viridiplantae; Streptophyta; Magnoliopsida; Fabales; Fabaceae.